CCAUAGGGGCGUUUGCCCGUU
This 21-nucleotide microRNA is filed under the name Sphaeroforma napiecek. RNAcentral's name for it is "Sna-Mir-Nov-5_mature". Lineage: Eukaryota; Ichthyosporea; Ichthyophonida. The record is from RNAcentral.